ACACAUGCAAGUCGAACGAGAGAGAAGGAGCUUGCUUCUUCGAUCGAGUGGCGAACGGGUGAGUAACGCGUGAGGAACCUGGCUCAAAGAGGGGGACAACAGUUGGAAACGACUGCUAAUACCGCAUAAGCCCACGGGUCGGCAUCGACCUGAGGGAAAAGGAGCAAUCCGCUUUGAGAUGGCCUCGCGUCCGAUUAGCUAGUUGGUGAGGUAACGGCCCACCAAGGCGACGAUCGGUAGCCGGACUGAGAGGUUGAACGGCCACAUUGGGACUGAGACACGGCCCAGACUCCUACGGGAGGCAGCAGUGGGGAAUAUUGCACAAUGGGGGAAACCCUGAUGCAGCGACGCCGCGUGGAGGAAGAAGGUCUUCGGAUUGUAAACUCCUGUUGUUGAGGAAGAUAAUGACGGUACUCAACAAGGAAGUGACGGCUAACUACGUGCCAGCAGCCGCGGUAAAACGUAGGUCACAAGCGUUGUCCGGAAUUACUGGGUGUAAAGGGAGCGCAGGCGGGAAGACAAGUUGGAAGUGAAAUCUAUGGGCUCAACCCAUAAACUGCUUUCAAAACUGUUUUUCUUGAGUAGUGCAGAGGUAGGCGGAAUUCCCGGUGUAGCGGUGGAAUGCGUAGAUAUCGGGAGGAACACCAGUGGCGAAGGCGGCCUACUGGGCACCAACUGACGCUGAGGCUCGAAAGUGUGGGUAGCAAACAGGAUUAGAUACCCCGGUAGUCCACACCGUAAACGAUGAUUACUAGGUGUUGGAGGAUUGACCCCUUCAGUGCCGCAGUUAACACAAUAAGUAAUCCACCUGGGG
RNAcentral lists this ribosomal RNA (814 nucleotides) under uncultured bacterium. Its description in RNAcentral is "bacterial SSU rRNA". It matches the Rfam family "Bacterial small subunit ribosomal RNA", at positions 51 to 878 of the family's 1533-position model. The record is from RNAcentral.